GCGCGACUUCCCUGGCCCUCCCCCUGCGGACCAGUGAACCUCGCCCGAGGGCUCAAUAAAGAAGAUUUUUGCCCUCUUUUUCUCACCUCUCAGCCUUAUUGAUCCAUGGUGCCCUUCCAUUGCCUUUCAUUGGUGCCGAAACCCGGGAGGGGACACCUCCUAAGCCCCCCCAGAGGCUCAGGGGGACUCCCCUCCUGGUCGGAUCAGUCCUCUCCCUCAGUCAGGUCAGGCUUCUCCUCCACGGCCAUCUGUCCAUUUCGUCCGGUUACUUGCUGCCAGGUCGCAGUUGCUGCAGCUACUCCAGUCCAAUUCGGCCGACGCUAGAUCAACUGAGAUGCAAAACCCAUGUUCACAUCAUGAGUGAGUCUUCUAACUCGGACAAUGCAAUCAACAAAUUCUAAGACCAAAUUCCGGUGGCACUGGCUCCAAAGGACUCAUGGUCUAUCAAAGAGCAAGACCUCACCAGCUCAACACAGCCACCUCCAUACACAUCUUACUGUCACUUGUGAUCAGCACCAAAGGAAGUGUCCACCUGAAGGACUCUCCCUUGAGGACUGUCAGGAUCCACCCAAGAGGUGCUCUUUGUCCACACCACGUUCCUUUUACUGGUUCGUUAUCCCAUUUUCUGUUGAUGUUAAAUGUCACUCUGUUUGAUGUGAAAACUCUCAUCUAUAACAUUUAUAGAUUGAUUAAGUAUACUAUCAUGCAUGGUUUGCAAUGUUGACUGGCCUGUGCAGUGGCUUGAGCCUGCAUGCCACAGUGGCUCUGACUCCUGAGUGCAUGGGAGGCCUAAAGACAACUGCCUCCUCAGGAACCCCACAGAGCCCGUGGUUUUUAUUAUUGAAAUAGCAUUGGUAAAGUCUGACCCUGUGGAGAGAGACAAACGUGUGUGGAUUUGGCUAUGCCUGGCCUUGUGCUGCUCACGACAUAACUUACCCACCAUUUUCAGCACUUUCUUUGUUCUACUUUGAGUUACAAAUAGAGACACAUAAAUAAA
RNAcentral lists this long non-coding RNA (997 nucleotides) under Homo sapiens (human). RNAcentral's name for it is "long intergenic non-protein coding RNA 1287". The record is from RNAcentral. Lineage: Eukaryota; Metazoa; Chordata; Mammalia; Primates; Hominidae.